Molecule: unclassified non-coding RNA, 647 nt
Filed under: uncultured Prochlorococcus sp.
Lineage: Bacteria; Bacillati; Cyanobacteriota; Cyanophyceae; Synechococcales; Prochlorococcaceae
Description: partial 16S-23S ribosomal RNA intergenic spacer; may also contain 16S ribosomal RNA and 23S ribosomal RNA
Rfam family: tRNA (bases 305-377)
Source: RNAcentral
UUGUGGAGGAGGACGCCGAAGGUGGGGCUAAUGACUGGGGUGAAGUCGUAACAAGGUAGCCGUACCGGAAGGUGCGGCUGGAUCACCUCCUAACAGGGAGACAACAAAAUGUUUAAUAUUAUUAUUUUGUCACCUUAGGUCGAUCGGUAUCUCACGUUUUUAAUUUAUUAAGAAUUUCAUUUCCUAAGUUUUUCUAGGUCACACCCAUUAUUUUUCCUGGGCCAUUAGCUCAGGUGGUUAGAGCGCACCCCUGAUAAGGGUAAGGUCCCUGGUUCAAGUCCAGGAUGGCCCAUAUCUCUAUGUUGGGGGUAUAGCUCAGUUGGUAGAGCGCCUGCUUUGCAAGCAGGAUGUCAGCGGUUCGAGUCCGCUUACCUCCACUGAUCACCACCUCUUCCAUAAUCGGUAGAAAGGAAAUUUUUUGAGUUGUGAUCAAAUUCUGAAAGAAUCUAGCUUCCUAAUGAAAUCAUUAAGAUGCUGGACUCAUUGAAUUAAUUUCAUUGUUUUCAGAGAACCUUGACAACUGCAUAGAUUAUUUUUAAAGACAAUAAGCAUCUUUAAUGAUGCAGAUUUAUUAUUUGUGCAAAUGCAUUAAUAACAAUUCUAUUAAGCUGAUGCUUCAAUAUUUGAAGUUAUUGGUCAAGCUACAA